This 402-nucleotide ribosomal RNA is filed under the name uncultured bacterium. RNAcentral's name for it is "bacterial SSU rRNA". It matches the Rfam family "Bacterial small subunit ribosomal RNA", at positions 355 to 774 of the family's 1533-position model. The record is from RNAcentral.
UGGGGAAUAUUGGACAAUGGGGGAAACCCUGAUCCAGCAAUGCCGCGUGAGUGAAGAAGGCCUUAGGGUUGUAAAGCUCUUUCGCCCGCGAAGAUAAUGACGGUAGCGGGAGAAGAAGCCCCGGCUAACUCCGUGCCAGCAGCCGCGGUAAUACGGAGGGGGCUAGCGUUGUUCGGAAUUACUGGGCGUGAAGCGUACGUAGGCGGAUGCGCAAGUUGGGGGUGAAACCCCGGGGCUUAACCUCGGAAUUGCCCUCAAAACUGCACGUCUUGAGACCGAGAGAGGUGAGGGGAAUUCCUAGUGUAGAGGUGAAAUUCGUAGAUAUUAGGAAGAACACCAGUGGCGAAGGCGCCUUACUGGCUCGGUACUGACGCUGAGGUACGAAAGCGUGGGGAGCAAACA